AUGGACCUCACUUCUUCUAACCACUGUAAAUGGGGAGGAGUUACAUGCAAAGAUGGUUUGGUCACUGCCAUUUCCCUUCCACGGCAAACCUUUAGGAAACCAAUCCCACCGUCCCUUUGCCUCCUCAAGAAUCUUACCUACUUGGACCUCUCCUACAAUAACUUCUCCACUUCAUUCCCUACCAUACUCUACAAUUGCUCCAAUCUGAAGUACCUAGACCUUUCCAACAAUGCCUUUGGUGGGAAACUCGCAGCUGACAUAAACAGUUUAUCAGCAAAGCUCGAGCAUCUCAACUUAUCAAGCAAUCGUAUCAUGGGGGAAAUUCCACCAUCGAUUGGAUGGUUUCCAAAGCUCAAGUCGCUGCUCCUCGACACCAACCAGUUUGACGGAAGUUAUCCAGCAAAGGACAUCAGCAAUCUGGCCAACCUCGAGGUGCUGACACUAGCGGAAAAUCCAUUUCUGCCAGCUCCAUUUCAAGUUGAGCUUGGCAAGUUGACACGCCUCACAUACUUGUGGCUGUCAGGUAUGAACAUGACAGGUGAGAUCCCUGAGAGCCUGUCAAGCCUCACAGAGCUCAGUCUGUUGAGUGUGUCAAAUAAUAUGCUGCAAGGCACAAUUCCGACAUGGGUAUGGCAGCAUAAGAAGCUUCAGUACUUGUACAUGUUUGCCAACAGUUUCACAGGCGAGAUUUCCUCCAGUGUCACCGCCGUAAACUUGGUAGAGCUUGAUGUGUCCUCAAACAAUCUGACAGGGACAAUACCAGAUGACUUUGGUAGGCUCAUCAACCUUACCAUGUUGUUUCUCUACACGAAUCAACUUCAUGGGUCAAUACCGCCAAGCAUUGGGUUGCUGCCGAAUCUCAGCGAUAUACGGCUAUUUGAGAACAUGUUAUCUGGUUCCCUUCCACCAGAGCUUGGUAAGCACUCACCACUAGGUAAUCUUGAGGUCUGCAACAAUAACCUCUCGGGCGAGCUGCCAGCUGAUCUUUGCUCCAACAGGAAGUUAUAUGACAUCGUUGUGUUCAAUAAUAACUUUUAUGGAAAGCUUCCACAAUCGCUAGACGGCUGCUACCGGUUGAACAAUUUAAUGCUGUACAACAAUCAUUUUACUGGAGAGUUCCCCAAGAGCAUCUGGUCAGUGGUGACAAAUGAGCUAACGACAGUUAUGAUCCAAAACAACAAUUUCUCUGGGACCUUUCCUACCCAGCUUCCAUGGAACUUUACACGUCUUGAGAUGAGCAAUAAUAGAUUCUCUGGUCCCAUUCCGACUUUAGCAGGCAAAAUCGAAGUAUUCAGGGCAGCAAACAACUCUCUUUGUGGCGAAAUUCCCUGGAAUUUGAUGGGUAUUUCACAGGUAACAGAACUUGACCUUUCUGGAAAUCAAAUUACUGGAUCAAUACCCAUGACAAUUGGAGUGCUAAAGCUCAAUGCACUUAAUCUAAGUGGAAAUCAGAUAUCUGGUACUAUACCUGCAGCGUUUGGAUUUACGUCAGGGCUAACCAUCCUUGACCUCUCCUCGAAUGCGCUAUCUGGCGAGAUCCCAAAAGCGAUCAAUAAGUUGAAACUGAACUUUCUAAACCUCUCCAUGAAUCAACUCACGGGGGAAAUUCCAACAUCAUUGCAAAACGAAGCAUAUGAGCGAAGCUUCCUCUUCAAUCCAGGCCUCUGUGUCUCAUCGAAUAAUUCCAUCCCUAAUUUCCCGAUUUGCAGUGCAAGAGCAAAUAACAACAAUGAUAUCUCCAGGAGGCUUAUAGCCCUCUUUCUUGUUCUUGCCAGUAUCAUGCUUGUGGGUUCGGCAGUUGGUGGUUUCUUGCUAUUAAAGAGGCAAAAGAAUACCCAAGAUCCUCUAUCAUGGAAGCUGACCCAGUUCCAUGCACUGCAUUUCACAGAGUAUGAUGUUCUUUCUGGGCUCUGUGAGCAGAACUGGAUUGGAAGUGGCAGGUCUGGCAAGGUGUACCGAAUUAGUGUUGUGGAUGGAGAAGGUGGUAGUAGAAUGGUGGCUGUUAAAAAGAUAUGGAACGCCCAGAACCUUGACAGCAAGCUCGAGAAGGACUUCCUUGCAGAGGUCCAGAUAUUGGGUGAGAUCCGGCACAUAAACAUUGUCAAGCUGCUCUGCUGCAUCUCAAGCUCAGAGGCAAAGCUUCUUGUCUAUGAGUACAUGGAAAAUGGUAGCUUAGACAGGUGGCUCCAUCAGAGGGAUAGAGUUGGUUCACUGGCACCUUUGGAUUGGCCCACCAGAUUGCAAAUUGCCAUCGACUCGGCAAGAGGUCUCUGCUAUAUGCACCAUGAUAGUUCACCCGCCAUAGUGCACUGUGAUGUCAAGUCUGCCAAUAUCCUUCUGGACCCCGAGUUCAGAGCAAAGAUAGCUGACUUCGGGCUUGCUCGGAUUCUUCUCAAAACCGGAGAUCCUGAGUCAAUUUCUGGCAUAGGUGGUACCUUUGGCUACAUGGCACCAGAGUACGGAUACCGGCUUAAGGUGAAUGAGAAGGUCGAUGUCUACAGCUUCGGAGUGGUUCUGUUGGAGCUCACAACGGGGAGGGUGGCAAAUGAUGGAGGCUUGGAGUACUGCUUGGCAGAAUGGGCAUGGAGACAGUAUCAAGAGUAUGGCCUGUCAAUUGAUCUUCUUGAUGAAGACAUUCGAGAUCCAGCCAACAUUGAAGAUGCAUUCGCAGUGUUUACGCUAGGUGUGAUCUGUACAGGUGGGCAGCCUUCAGUGCGGCCAUCAAUGAAGGAUGUGCUGUACGCUCUUCUCCGGUUUGAACAUAAAUCCAGGGAAAGAAGCCCGCAGCAUGUUGUCUCUGAAGAAAUGUCACUUCUAGAAUCCUAG
This 2826-nucleotide ribosomal RNA is filed under the name Triticum aestivum (bread wheat). RNAcentral describes it as "partial small subunit ribosomal RNA". Lineage: Eukaryota; Viridiplantae; Streptophyta; Magnoliopsida; Poales; Poaceae. The record is from RNAcentral.